UACGUAGGGUGCGAGCGUUGUCCGGAAUUAUUGGGCGUAAAGGGCUCGUAGGCGGUUUGUCGCGUCGGGAGUGAAAACUCAGGGCUUAACCCUGAGCCUGCUUCCGAUACGGGCAGACUAGAGGUAUGCAGGGGAGAACGGAAUUCCUGGUGUAGCGGUGAAAUGCGCAGAUAUCAGGAGGAACACCGGUGGCGAAGGCAGGUCUCUGGGCCGAUACUGACGCUGAGGAGCGAAAGCGUGGGGAGCGAACAGG
Molecule: ribosomal RNA, 253 nt
Filed under: uncultured bacterium
Lineage: Bacteria
Description: partial 16S ribosomal RNA
Rfam family: Bacterial small subunit ribosomal RNA
Source: RNAcentral